UGGGGAAUCUUGGACAAUGGGCGAAAGCCUGAUCCAGCCAUGCCGCGUGUGUGAAGAAGGUCUUCGGAUUGUAAAGCACUUUAAGUUGGGAGGAAGGGCAGUUACCUAAUACGUGAUUGUUUUGACGUUACCGACAGAAUAAGCACCGGCUAACUCUGUGCCAGCAGCCGCGGUAAUACAGAGGGUGCAAGCGUUAAUCGGAAUUACUGGGCGUAAAGCGCGCGUAGGUGGUUAGUUAAGUUGGAUGUGAAAUCCCCGGGCUCAACCUGGGAACUGCAUUCAAAACUGACUGACUAGAGUAUGGUAGAGGGUGGUGGAAUUUCCUGUGUAGCGGUGAAAUGCGUAGAUAUAGGAAGGAACACCAGUGGCGAAGGCGACCACCUGGACUGAUACUGACACUGAGGUGCGAAAGCGUGGGGAGCAAACAGGAUUAGAUACCCAGGUAGUCCCUGAGCGGGCUGGCAAGGCGCAU
Molecule: ribosomal RNA, 472 nt
Filed under: uncultured bacterium
Lineage: Bacteria
Description: bacterial SSU rRNA
Rfam family: Bacterial small subunit ribosomal RNA
Source: RNAcentral